Molecule: ribosomal RNA, 466 nt
Filed under: uncultured bacterium
Lineage: Bacteria
Description: partial 16S ribosomal RNA
Rfam family: Bacterial small subunit ribosomal RNA
Source: RNAcentral
CUACGGGGGGCACCAGUGGGGAAUAUUGGACAAUGGGGGAAACCCUGAUCCAGCAAUGCCGCGUGUGUGAAGAAGGCCUGCGGGUUGUAAAGCACUUUCGGUUGGGAGGACUGCUUCUAGCACUAAUAUUGUUGGAAGUUGACGUUACCUUCAGAAGAAGCACCGGCUAACUCCGUGCCAGCAGCGCGCGGUAAUACGGAGGGUGCAAGCGUUAAUCGGAAUUACUGGGCGUAAAGCGCGCGUAGGCGGCUAGAUCAGUCGGGUGUGAAAGCCCCGGGCUUAACCUGGGAACUGCAUCCGAUACUGUCUAGCUUGAGUACAGGAGAUGAGAGUGGAAUUCCACAUGUAGCGGUGAUAUGCGUAGAUAUGUGGAGGAACACCAAUGGCGAAGGCAGCUCUCUGGCCUGAUACUGACGCUGAGGUGCGAAAGCGUGGGGAGCAAACAGGAUUAGAUACCCCCGUAGUC